This 433-nucleotide ribosomal RNA is filed under the name uncultured bacterium. RNAcentral's name for it is "partial 16S ribosomal RNA". It matches the Rfam family "Bacterial small subunit ribosomal RNA", at positions 29 to 507 of the family's 1533-position model. The record is from RNAcentral.
AAUGAACGCUGGCGGCAGGCCUAACACAUGCAAGUCGAGCGAAGUCUUCGGACUUAGCGGCGGACGGGUGAGUAACGCGUGGGAACAUGCCCUUUGGAGCGGAAUAGCCCCGGGAAACUGGGAGUAAUACCGCAUGUGCCCUUCGGGGGAAAGAUUUAUCGCCAAAGGAUUGGCCCGCGUUGGAUUAGGUAGUUGGUGGGGUAAUGGCCUACCAAGCCGACGAUCCAUAGCUGGUUUGAGAGGAUGAUCAGCCACACUGGGACUGAGACACGGCCCAGACUCCUACGGGAGGCAGCAGUGGGGAAUCUUAGACAAUGGGCGCAAGCCUGAUCUAGCCAUGCCGCGUGAUCGAUGAAGGCCUUAGGGUUGUAAAGAUCUUUCAGUGGGGAAGAUAAUGACGGUACCCACAGAAGAAGCCCCGGCUAACUCCGUG